GCAUAUCAAUAAGCGGAGGAAAAGAAACCAGCCGGUAUUGCCUCAGUACGGCGAGUGAGCGGCAAAAGCUCAAAUUUGAAAUCUGGCACCUUCGGUGUCCGAGUUGUAAUUUGAAGAAGGUAACUUUGGAGUUGGCUCUUGUCUAUGUUCCUUGGAACAGGACGUCACAGAGGGUGAGAAUCCCGUGCGAUGAGAUGCCCAAUUCUAUGUAAAGUGCUUUCGAAGAGUCGAGUUGUUUGGGAAUGCAGCUCUAAGUGGGUGGUAAAUUCCAUCUAAAGCUAAAUAUUGGCGAGAGACCGAUAGCGAACAAGUACAGUGAUGGAAAGAUGAAAAGAACUUUGAAAAGAGAGUGAAAAAGUACGUGAAAUUGUUGAAAGGGAAGGGCUUGAGAUCAGACUUGGUAUUUUGCAAGCUUUACCUUCGUGGUGGAGUCCCCUGCAGUUUACUGGGCCAGCAUCGGUUUGGAUGGUAGGAUAAUGACUUGGGAAUGUGGCUUUGCUUCGGUAAAGUGUUAUAGCCCUUGUUGAUGCUACCUGUCUAGACCGAGGACUGCGUCUUUGACUAGGAUGUUGGCAUAAUGAUCUUAAGUCGCCCGUCUUGAAACACGGACC
This 611-nucleotide ribosomal RNA is filed under the name Schwanniomyces vanrijiae. Its description in RNAcentral is "eukaryotic LSU rRNA". It matches the Rfam family "Eukaryotic large subunit ribosomal RNA", at positions 38 to 667 of the family's 3401-position model. The record is from RNAcentral. Lineage: Eukaryota; Fungi; Ascomycota; Pichiomycetes; Serinales; Debaryomycetaceae.